RNAcentral lists this ribosomal RNA (465 nucleotides) under uncultured bacterium. Its description in RNAcentral is "partial 16S ribosomal RNA". It matches the Rfam family "Bacterial small subunit ribosomal RNA", at positions 28 to 507 of the family's 1533-position model. The record is from RNAcentral.
GACGAACGCUGGCGGCGUGCUUAACACAUGCAAGUCGAACGGAAAGGCCCCUUUGGGGGUACUCGAGUGGCGAACGGGUGAGUAACACGUGAGUAACCUGCCCUUGACUUCGGGAUAACUUCAUGAAACUGGGGCUAAUACCGGAUAGGAAUCCUUGCUGCAUGGUGGGGGUUGGAAAGCUUCGGGGGUUUGGGAUGGACUCGCGGCUUAUCAGCUUGUUGGUGGGGUAGUGGCUUACCAAGGCGUUGACGGGUAGCCGGCCUGAGAGGGCGACCGGCCACAUUGGGACUGAGAUACGGCCCAGACUCCUACGGGAGGCAGCAGGGGGGAAUAUUGCACAAUGGGCGGAAGCCUGAUGCAGCAACGCCGCGUGCGGGAUGACGGCCUUCGGGUUGGAAACCGCUUUCAGCAGGGGCGAAGUUUGUGGUGACGGUACCUGCAGAAGAAGCACCGGCUAACUACGUG